RNAcentral lists this ribosomal RNA (239 nucleotides) under uncultured bacterium. RNAcentral describes it as "partial 16S ribosomal RNA". It matches the Rfam family "Bacterial small subunit ribosomal RNA", at positions 15 to 236 of the family's 1533-position model. The record is from RNAcentral.
GAUCCUGGCUCAGGAUGAACGCUGGCGGCGUGCUUAACACAUGCAAGUCGAACGAAGCGCUUAAGAUUGAUUCUUCGGAUGAUUUCUUUUGUGACUUAGUGGCGGACGGGUGAGUAACGCGUGGGUAACCUGCCUCACACAGGGGGAUAACAGUUAGAAAUGACUGCUAAUACCGCAUAACCCGAUAGGAUCGCAUGAUCCAGACGGAAAAGAUUUAUCGGUGUGAGAUGGACCCGCGU